Claviceps sorghi is the source of this 101-nucleotide non-coding RNA. Lineage: Eukaryota; Fungi; Ascomycota; Sordariomycetes; Hypocreales; Clavicipitaceae. The record is from the annotation of a GenBank genome assembly.
GGCUUCGUGGUCUAGUGGAUACGAUUCGUUCUUCGGGAGAUAAUCCCUUAAUUCGUUAGAGUUACUGAAUGAGGUCCCGGGUUCGAUCCCCGGCGAAGCCC